GAGACCCAGAGCUCUGCCCUGAAGCUGGCCGACCAGAGCUGCCAAUUCAGCAGAGUAAUGAAUGCACCGCGUGUCUCUGGGAAAUUAAGGCCCUGCUGCCCGGUCUUCUUAUCACCUCUGAGGCUGCCCUCUGAUCCCUUGCUAAGUGCCAGGCUCCCUGGAGAAGGGCCCAGAAUGAGGACUUGGAGUCUAUUUCUGUUGGCUGUAGCCCAUCAGUGUGUUCUCAGCAUCUGUACCCCAUCUAAACAAGUUUAAACAUCGGAGCAGAGCCUCAAGCUCCCACAGCAGAACAGCAGGAGGAUGCAAGA
Odocoileus virginianus texanus is the source of this 308-nucleotide non-coding RNA. NCBI's taxonomy places the organism in Eukaryota, Metazoa, Chordata, Mammalia, Artiodactyla, Cervidae. The record is from RefSeq and is a predicted model, not a curated record.